GACGAACGCUGGCGGCGUGCUUAACACAUGCAAGUCGAACGGAAAGGCCCUGCUUUUGUGGGGUGCUCGAGUGGCGAACGGGUGAGUAACACGUGAGUAACCUGCCCUUGACUUUGGGAUAACUUCAGGAAACUGGGGCUAAUACCGGAUAGGAGCUCCUGCUGCAUGGUGGGGGUUGGAAAGUUUCGGCGGUUGGGGAUGGACUCGCGGCUUAUCAGCUUGUUGGUGGGGUAGUGGCUUACCAAGGCUUUGACGGGUAGCCGGCCUGAGAGGGUGACCGGCCACAUUGGGACUGAGAUACGGCCCAGACUCCUACGGGAGGCAGCAGUGGGGAAUAUUGCACAAUGGGCGGAAGCCUGAUGCAGCAACGCCGCGUGCGGGAUGACGGCCUUCGGGUUGUAAACCGCUUUCGCCUGUGACGAAGCGUGAGUGACGGUAAUGGGUAAAGAAGCACCGGCUAACUACGUGCCAGCAGCCGCGGUGAUACGUAGGGUGCGAGCGUUGUCCGGAUUUAUUGGGCGUAAAGGGCUCGUAGGUGGUUGAUCGCGUCGGAAGUGUAAUCUUGGGGCUUAACCCUGAGCGUGCUUUCGAUACGGGUUGACUUGAGGAAGGUAGGGGAGAAUGGAAUUCCUGGUGGAGCGGUGGAAUGCGCAGAUAUCAGGAGGAACACCAGUGGCGAAGGCGGUUCUCUGGGCCUUUCCUGACGCUGAGGAGCGAAAGCGUGGGGAGCGAACAGGCUUAGAUACCCUGGUAGUCCACGCUGUAAACGGUGGGUACUAGGUGUGGGGUCCAUUCCACGGGUUCCGUGCCGUAGCUAACGCUUUAAGUACCCCGCCUGGGGAGUACGGCCGCAAGGCUAAAACUCAAAGGAAUUGACGGGGCCCCGCACAAGCGGCGGAGCAUGCGGAUUAAUUCGAUGCAACGCGUAGAACCUUACCUGGGUUUGACAUGGAUCGGGAGUGCUCAGAGAUGGGUGUGCCUCUUUUGGGGUCGGUUCACAGGUGGUGCAUGGCUGUCGUCAGCUCGUGUCGUGAGAUGUUGGGUUAAGUCCCGCAACGAGCGCAACCCUUGUUCACUGUUGCCAACACGUUAUGGUGGGGACUCAGUGGAGACCGCCGGGGUCAACUCGGAGGAAGGUGGGGAUGACGUCAAGUCAUCAUGCCCCUUAUGUCCAGGGCUUCACGCAUGCUACAAUGGCUGGUACAGAGAGUGGCGAGCCUGUGAGGGUGAGCGAAUCUCGGAAAGCCGGUCUCAGUUCGGAUUGGGGUCUGCAACUCGACCUCAUGAAGUCGGAGUCGCUAGUAAUCGCAGAUCAGCAACGCUGCGGUGAAUACGUUCCCGGGGCU
This 1346-nucleotide ribosomal RNA is filed under the name uncultured bacterium. Its description in RNAcentral is "partial 16S ribosomal RNA". It matches the Rfam family "Bacterial small subunit ribosomal RNA", at positions 28 to 1381 of the family's 1533-position model. The record is from RNAcentral.